Molecule: ribosomal RNA, 502 nt
Filed under: uncultured bacterium
Lineage: Bacteria
Description: partial 16S ribosomal RNA
Rfam family: Bacterial small subunit ribosomal RNA
Source: RNAcentral
GAUUAACGCUGGCGGCGUGCCUAACACAUGCAAGUCGAGCGGCAGCGAGUUUUACACUGACUUCUGGAAGCUUCUAGUUGAAAGAGAAGAUUUAUUCAAGAAUUUUGUGUAAAAUGUCGGCGAGCGGCGGACGGCUGAGUAACGCGUGGGAACGUACCCCAAAGUGAGGGAUAACGCAUCGAAAGGUGUGCUAAUACCGCAUAUGGUCUUCGGAUUAAAGCCUUCGGGCGCUUUGGGAACGGCCUGCGUAAGAUUAGAUAGUUGGUGGGGUAAUGGCCUACCAAGUCGACGAUCGUUAACUGGUUUGAGAGGAUGAUCAGUCAGACUGGAACUGAGACACGGUCCAGACUCCUACGGGAGGCAGCAGUGAGGAAUCUUCCACAAUGGGCGAAAGCCUGAUGGAGCAACGCCGCGUGCAGGAUGAAGGCCUUCGGGUUGUAAACUGCUUUUAUAAGUGAGGAUUAUGACAGUAACUUAUGAAUAAGGAUCGGCUAACUACGUG